Chinchilla lanigera (long-tailed chinchilla) is the source of this 884-nucleotide long non-coding RNA. RefSeq lists it as uncharacterized. The transcript has 3 exons. Lineage: Eukaryota; Metazoa; Chordata; Mammalia; Rodentia; Chinchillidae. The record is from RefSeq and is a predicted model, not a curated record.
UGAGACAGAGAGAAGGGCAGGUAUCACUCCUAAUGAACAGAAACGCUCUGCAGUUCAUCUUGAUUGCCACCUUGGUUGGCUUGAGUGAAACCUGGGAGCUUAGUAAUGCACACUUCCGGGUGUGUCCCUGAGGGCAUUCUCAGAGAUAACUGGCCUGUGGGCCAGCAGACUGCAGGGGAGAAACCUGCCCCGAAUGUGGGCAGCAGCAACCCAUGGCUUGCGGCCCACAUGACACAAGCGCAGGGGAAAGACAGGGCUCACAAGCUCAGUCUGCUGAAGUAGGUGUGUCUUUUGCUGCUGUGAUCUCCUGUGAACAUCAACCCCAAUGUCUUCAGCCCUGCCCAGUGGACUCCAGCUGCACCUCUCCAAGGAGCUGCCAGGCCUUCCGCCUGGGACUGGAGAAGCAUUCUUGAACUUUCUUGUCCUAUGGCGUCCAGUUUUUCGGGCUGACAAGCUACUGGAUCCUCUGGCUCUCCAGCAAGCAGAGGGACCCUGUCAAACUCUCCAGCCUCUGAUCCUGAUGAUGGUGCCAUUCCAGAAUCUUCUGAGCCUCAGACCUUCCAGUGCUGACUUCAGAGCUCCUUCUGUCACACCAGAGACUACUUGAGUGAGUCUCAAAUGACUGCAAAGAAGCCUAUUGGAAAACAGAUCUCUGACACACAGACUGAACGUCAAGGGUAGCUGGAGCUCUUAACUUCAUCUGGAGAACCAGUCUGUUUGGAAAAACACCACCACAGAAGGAAGGAUCCCCUCAGCCAGGCUUGAGCGUGAACUGCUGAAAUUCCCCAGCUCAGACGCCUUUCUGAAAAGGUCAGUGAUCAGACAGCUGGCUGCGAACACAGACUGGCAACGUGUGAGCACAGGGGGACCAGGCGAGAGGUCGC